This 445-nucleotide ribosomal RNA is filed under the name Faughnia profunda. RNAcentral describes it as "partial 16S ribosomal RNA". It matches the Rfam family "Bacterial large subunit ribosomal RNA", at positions 1923 to 2566 of the family's 2925-position model. Lineage: Eukaryota; Metazoa; Arthropoda; Malacostraca; Stomatopoda; Parasquillidae. The record is from RNAcentral.
UUAAAGAGCCGCGGUAUUUUGACCGUGCGAAGGUAGCAUAAUAAUUAGUCUCCUAAUUAGAGGCUUGUAUGAAUGGUCGGACAAGAUGGAAACUGUCUCAGUACAAUAAAUAAAAUUUAAUAUUUAAGUAAAAAAGCUUAAAUGGAAUGGGGGGACGAUAAGACCCUAUAAAGCUUUAUGGUAGUUUCUUUUAAUAUGAAUUGUAUGAUUUCUAGUUUAUUGAAGAAAAAUUACUAUUUUACUGGGGCGGUAAAAGUAUGCUUUCGGUUAACUGCUUUUGUUUUUAAAAACAAACAUGGUUGGAAAUAAAUUGAUCCAUUAUUAAUGAUUAUAAGAACAAGUUACUUUAGGGAUAACAGCGUAAUUUUUCUUGAGAGUCCUUAUCGAAAGAAAAGUUUGCGACCUCGAUGUUGAAUUAAGGACGCCUUAGGGUGUAGCAGUUUUA